Molecule: ribosomal RNA, 22 nt
Filed under: Megalophaedusa pinguis platyauchen
Lineage: Eukaryota; Metazoa; Mollusca; Gastropoda; Stylommatophora; Clausiliidae
Also listed under: 10 other names
Description: Hemiphaedusa pinguis platyauchen partial 5.8S rRNA
Source: RNAcentral
GAAAAACCAGAAAAGAAAUGGG